Molecule: ribosomal RNA, 463 nt
Filed under: uncultured bacterium
Lineage: Bacteria
Description: partial 16S ribosomal RNA
Rfam family: Bacterial small subunit ribosomal RNA
Source: RNAcentral
GACGAACGCUGGCGGCGUGCUUAACACAUGCAAGUCGAACGGAAAGGCCCUGCUUGCAGGGUACUCGAGUGGCGAACGGGUGAGUAACACGUGGGUGAUCUGCCCUGCACUUCGGGAUAAGCCUGGGAAACUGGGUCUAAUACCGGAUAGGAGCCAUUUUUAGUGUGAUGGUUGGAAAGUUUUUUCGGUGUAGGAUGAGCUCGCGGCCUAUCAGCUUGUUGGUGGGGUAAUGGCCUACCAAGGCGGCGACGGGUAGCCGGCCUGAGAGGGUGGACGGCCACAUUGGGACUGAGAUACGGCCCAGACUCCUACGGGAGGCAGCAGUGGGGAAUAUUGCACAAUGGGCGCAAGCCUGAUGCAGCGACGCCGCGUGGGGGAUGACGGCCUUCGGGUGGUAAACUCCUUUCGCUAGGGACGAAGCUUUUUGUGACGGUACCUAGAUAAGAAGCACCGGCUAACUACG